RNAcentral lists this small RNA (30 nucleotides) under Bombyx mori (domestic silkworm). RNAcentral's name for it is "ovarian small RNA-34956". The record is from RNAcentral. Lineage: Eukaryota; Metazoa; Arthropoda; Insecta; Lepidoptera; Bombycidae.
UGGCUGUUUCGGCGCCGCGGACGGUUCCAC